This 460-nucleotide ribosomal RNA is filed under the name uncultured bacterium. RNAcentral describes it as "partial 16S ribosomal RNA". It matches the Rfam family "Bacterial small subunit ribosomal RNA", at positions 338 to 795 of the family's 1533-position model. The record is from RNAcentral.
CCUACGGGAGGCAGCAGUGAGGAAUAUUGGUCAAUGGCCGGAAGGCUGAACCAGCCAUGCCGCGUGAAGGUCAGUGCCCUAUGGGCGUUAAACUUCUUUUGUGCGGGAGCAAUAAUGGUCACGUGUGGCCAGACGAGAGUACCGUACGAAUAAGCAUCGGCUAACUCCGUGCCAGCAGCCGCGGUAAUACGGGGGAUGCAAGCGUUAUCCGGAGUUAUUGGGUUUAAAGGGUGCGUAGGCUGUGAGGUAAGUCAGCGGUGAAAUGCCCCCGCUCAACGGGGUGAAGGGCCAUUGAUACUGCCUGGCUGGAAUGCGGAUGCCGUGGGAGGAAUGUGUGGUGUAGCGGUGAAAUGCAUAGAUAGCACACAGAACACCGAUUGCGAAGGCAUCUCACGAAUCCGCGAUUGACGCUGAUGCACGAAAGCGUGGGUAUCAAACAGGAUUAGAUACCCCAGUAGUC